Molecule: ribosomal RNA, 506 nt
Filed under: uncultured bacterium
Lineage: Bacteria
Description: partial 16S ribosomal RNA
Rfam family: Bacterial small subunit ribosomal RNA
Source: RNAcentral
AUUGAACGCUGGCGGCAGGCUUAACACAUGCAAGUCGAGCGGUAACAGAGAGAAGCUUGCUUCUCUGCUGACGAGCGGCGGACGGGUGAGUAAUGCCUAGGAAUCUGCCUAGUAGUGGGGGAUAACUUGCCGAAAGGUAAGCUAAUACCGCAUUCGUCCUACGGGAGAAAGGAGGGGAACUUCGGGCCUUUCGCUAUUAGAUGAGCCUAGGUCGGAUUAGUUAGUUGGUGAGGUAAUGGCUCACCAAGACCGCGAUCCGUAACUGGUCUGAGAGGAUGAUCAGUCACACUGGAACUGAGACACGGUCCAGACUCCUACGGGAGGCAGCAGUGGGGAAUAUUGGACAAUGGGGGGAACCCUGAUCCAGCCAUGCCGCGUGUGUGAAGAAGGUCUUAGGAUUGUAAAGCACUUUAAGUUGGGAGGAAGAGCAGUUAACUAAUAUUUGACUGUUUUGACGUUACCGACAGAAUAAGCACCGGCUAACUUCGUGCCAGCCGCCGCAGUAA